RNAcentral lists this ribosomal RNA (667 nucleotides) under uncultured cyanobacterium. RNAcentral's name for it is "bacterial SSU rRNA". It matches the Rfam family "Bacterial small subunit ribosomal RNA", at positions 99 to 795 of the family's 1533-position model. The record is from RNAcentral. Lineage: Bacteria; Bacillati; Cyanobacteriota.
CGGACGGGUGAGUAACGCGUGAGAAUUCGCCUUUAGGCGGGGAAUAACUAUAGGAAACCAUAGCUAAUGCCCCAUAUGCUCGCAAGAGUGAAAGGAGCAAUCCACCCAAAGAGAAGCUCGCGGCUGAUUAGCUAGUUGGUAAGGUAAUGGCUUACCAAGGCGACGAUCAGUAGCUGGUUUGAGAGAACGAUCAGCCACACUGGAACUGAGACACGGUCCAGACUCCUACGGGAGGCAGCAGUGGGGAAUUUUCCGCAAUGGGCGAAAGCCUGACGGAGCAAUACCGCGUGAGGGAUGACGGCCUUGGGGUUGUAAACCUCUUUUAUCAAGGAGGAAGUUCUGACGUGUACUUGAUGAAUAAGCAUCGGCUAACUCCGUGCCAGCAGCCGCGGUAAGACGGAGGAUGCAAGUGUUGUCCGGAAUCACUGGGCGUAAAGCGUCUGUAGGUGGUUUAAAAAGUCUGCUGUUAAAAGUUGAAGCUUAACUUCAAAGAUGCCGUAGAAACUUUUAAACUUGAGGAUGGUAGGGGUAGAGGGAAUUUCCAGUGGAGCGGUGAAAUGCGUAGAUCUUGGAAAGACCACCAAUGGCGAAGGCACUCUACUGGGCCAUUACUGACACUGAGAGACGAAAGCUAGGGGAGCAAAUGGGAUUAGAUACCCCAGUAGUC